AUUGAACGCUGGCGGCGUGCUUAACACAUGCAAGUCGAUCGGUAACAGGUGUAGCAAUACAUGCUGACGAGAGGCGGACGGGUGAGUAAUGCUUGGGAAUCUGCCUAUUAGUGGGGGACAACCCGGGGAAACUCGGGCUAAUACCGCAUACGCUCUACGGAGGAAAGCCGGGGACCGCAAGGCCUGGCGCUAAUAGAUGAGCCCAAGUCGGAUUAGCUAGUUGGUAGGGUAACGGCCUACCAAGGCGACAAUCCGUAGCUGGUCUGAGAGGACGACCAGCCACACCGGAACUGAGACACGGUCCGGACUCCUACGGGAGGCAGCAGUGGGGAAUAUUGGACAAUGGGGGCAACCCUGAUCCAGCGACGCCGCGUGGGUGAAGAAGGCCUGGCGGGUUGUAAAGCCCUUUCGGUGGGGAAGAAAGUCUCGACCUAAUACGUCGGGACCUUGACCGUAACC
RNAcentral lists this ribosomal RNA (459 nucleotides) under uncultured bacterium. RNAcentral describes it as "bacterial SSU rRNA". It matches the Rfam family "Bacterial small subunit ribosomal RNA", at positions 29 to 480 of the family's 1533-position model. The record is from RNAcentral.